UUCAAGUGAUUCUCAUGCCUCAGCCUCUGAGCAGCUGGGAUUACAGGUGUGUGCCAACACACAAGGCUAAUUUUUGCAUUUUUAGGAGACACUGGGUUUCUCAUGUUGGCACGGCUGAUCUUGAACUCCUGACUGCAAGUGAUCCACCUGUCUCAGCCUCCCAAAAUGCUGGGAUUACAGGUAUGAGCCACUG
Cebus imitator (Panamanian white-faced capuchin) is the source of this 193-nucleotide long non-coding RNA. RefSeq lists it as uncharacterized. Lineage: Eukaryota; Metazoa; Chordata; Mammalia; Primates; Cebidae. The record is from RefSeq and is a predicted model, not a curated record. The transcript is spliced from 3 exons.